Molecule: ribosomal RNA, 468 nt
Filed under: uncultured bacterium
Lineage: Bacteria
Description: partial 16S ribosomal RNA
Rfam family: Bacterial small subunit ribosomal RNA
Source: RNAcentral
GACGAACGCUGGCGGCGUGCUUAACACAUGCAAGUCGAACGGAAAGGCCCUGCUGUUGUGGGGUGCUCGAGUGGCGAACGGGUGAGUAACACGUGAGUAACCUGCCCUUGACUUUGGGAUAACUUCAGGAAACUGGGGCUAAUACCGGAUAGGAGCUCCUGCUGCAUGGUGGGGGUUGGAAAGUUUCGGCGGUUGGGGAUGGACUCGCGGCUUAUCAGCUUGUUGGUGGGGUAGUGGCUUACCAAGGCUUUGACGGGUAGCCGGCCUGAGAGGGUGACCGGCCACAUUGGGACUGAGAUACGGCCCAGACUCCUACGGGAGGCAGCAGUGGGGAAUAUUGCACAAUGGGCGGAAGCCUGAUGCAGCAACGCCGCGUGCGGGAUGACGGCCUUCGGGUUGUAAACCGCUUUCGCCUGUGACGAAGCGUGAGUGACGGUAAUGUGUAAAGAAGCACCGGCUAACUACGUG